This 253-nucleotide ribosomal RNA is filed under the name uncultured bacterium. Its description in RNAcentral is "partial 16S ribosomal RNA". It matches the Rfam family "Bacterial small subunit ribosomal RNA", at positions 524 to 776 of the family's 1533-position model. The record is from RNAcentral.
CACGUAGGGGGCAAGCGUUGUCCGGAAUUAUUGGGCGUAAAGAGCUCGUAGGCGGUUUGUCGCGUCGACUGUGAAAACCUACAGCUUAACUGUGGGCUUGCAGUCGAUACGGGCAGACUUGAGUUCGGUAGGGGAGACUGGAAUUCCUGGUGUAGCGGUGAAAUGCGCAGAUAUCAGGAGGAACACCGGUGGCGAAGGCGGUUCUCUGGGCAUGUCCUGACGCUGAGGAGCGAAAGCGUGGGGAGCAAACAGG